This is a small nucleolar RNA of Lepisosteus oculatus (spotted gar), 92 nucleotides long. NCBI's taxonomy places the organism in Eukaryota, Metazoa, Chordata, Actinopteri, Semionotiformes, Lepisosteidae. The record is from Ensembl.
GCUGGUGUCUGUGAUGACUGAUCUUUUUUCCCCAGCAGAUCGACAGUGAUGACUGCUUGCUAUUUUAAAGCCAACUUAACUGAUGCACCAGU